GGAAUGUGCCAAAGAGACAACAACCCGAUCAUAGAAAAAAACAACAGCAGAAGGUCACCAACAGGUCUUCAAUGUAGCGAGAAAUUCCCGCACCCGGAGGCGUCCUUCAACUGGCCCCUAAACAAAUAUAUACUAGUUCAGUGAUAAUGAACGCCAUACUAAUUUCCAAAUUGUACACAAGAAACUAAAAUUAAAUAAUACAAGACUAACAAA
Molecule: long non-coding RNA, 213 nt
Filed under: Mytilus galloprovincialis (Mediterranean mussel)
Lineage: Eukaryota; Metazoa; Mollusca; Bivalvia; Mytilida; Mytilidae
Source: RNAcentral